AUUGCCUAUUGACAGUCUAUACAUGGAAGAAGUGCACGUUAAGUUUGGAGAGGAAUUAUGCUUCACUGUUGGAGGUCAGCAUAUUCCUUUUGGUGCAUCACCACAGAAUAUCUGGACUGAACUUGGACCUCCUUGUAGAAUCUAUCAGAAGCAAAUAAUUCUACUGUUCAGAUAUCUUUUUCUUGUGUUUUGCUAUUCUGAACUCCUUAGUACUACUUUAUAGGGACUAGUAUUUAGAAAGAUUUUAAUU
Molecule: long non-coding RNA, 250 nt
Organism: Zingiber officinale
Lineage: Eukaryota; Viridiplantae; Streptophyta; Magnoliopsida; Zingiberales; Zingiberaceae
Exons: 3
Source: RefSeq, a predicted model, not a curated record